UGGGGAAUCUUGCGCAAUGGGCGAAAGCCUGACGCAGCGACGCCGCGUGAGCGAUGAAGGCCUUCGGGUUGUAAAGCUCUGUGGGGAGGGAAGAAUAAGGGUUGGCUAAUAUCCAGCUCGAUGACGGUACCUCCUUAGCAAGCACCGGCUAACUCUGUGCCAGCAGCCGCGGUAAUACAGAGGGUGCAAACGUUGUUCGGAAUUACUGGGCGUAAAGCGCGUGCAGGCGGCCUUGCAAGUCGGACGUGAAAUCCCACGGCUCAACCGUGGAAGUGCAUUCGAAACUGCGAGGCUGGAGUCCUGGAGAGGAAAGUGGAAUACUCGGUGUAGAGGUGAAAUUCGUAGAUAUCGAGUGGAACACCGGUGGCGAAGGCGGCUUUCUGGACAGGUACUGACGCUGAGACGCGAAAGCGUGGGGAGCAAACAG
This 427-nucleotide ribosomal RNA is filed under the name uncultured bacterium. Its description in RNAcentral is "bacterial SSU rRNA". It matches the Rfam family "Bacterial small subunit ribosomal RNA", at positions 355 to 775 of the family's 1533-position model. The record is from RNAcentral.